This 264-nucleotide long non-coding RNA is filed under the name Anser brachyrhynchus (Pink-footed goose). RNAcentral's name for it is "lncRNA (ENSABRG00000015845.1)". Lineage: Eukaryota; Metazoa; Chordata; Aves; Anseriformes; Anatidae. The record is from RNAcentral.
GCAAUUAUCUUAUCUGAAUGCCGUGAGAUUUUGCAGCCUUCCACAGUGCUUCCAAACAAGCUGAAAUAAGUCAACAAAAAAUGACAAACAUCGUUACUGGACUUCCCACUUUCUACAUCAGCCAUCAGAUCAUGCAUACCUACUUUGCUCUUAUGCUGAAGUAACCAGCACAGUAUGAGUCAUGUCUGAUGAAGAUCCAGAGACUUCUUCCUGAAAUGAUAAAUGAAGUUACUUCUAGGAAGGGGAGUUACUGCAGUGACAGAG